AGAGUGGGAAUGCAGCCAAGGAUGACUUGCCGGCAUUUCCCUAGUAAUAAGCAAUUUAAAAAUAAAAAUAAAAGUGUUUAAGCUGGGUCUUGUGGGCGGAUUGUCCUUGGCUACAUUUGGCUCUCC
Molecule: microRNA precursor, 126 nt
Filed under: Morus notabilis
Lineage: Eukaryota; Viridiplantae; Streptophyta; Magnoliopsida; Rosales; Moraceae
Source: RNAcentral